Molecule: ribosomal RNA, 1143 nt
Filed under: uncultured archaeon
Lineage: Archaea
Description: bacterial SSU rRNA
Rfam family: Archaeal small subunit ribosomal RNA
Source: RNAcentral
AGCCUGCAGUUGAAUGGGAUACCUAAAGUUCCCAUGGCAAACUGCUCAGUAACACAUGAUCAACUUGCCCUAUAGAGAAAAAUAACCUCGGGAAACUGAGGAUAAUGUUUCAUAGUCGAAUUGGCUUGGAAAAGUUUUUCGGCGAAAGGGGUAAAAAAAAUGGUUUUUAUCUGCUAUAGGAUAGGAUCGUGUUCGAUUAUGGUUGUUGGUGAGGUAAUGGCUCACCAAGCCGAUAAUCGAUAGGGGCCGUGAGAGCGGGAGCCCCGAGAUGGGUACUGAGACAACGACCCAGGCCUUACGAGGCGCAGCAGGCGCGAAACCUCCGCAAUACACGAAAGUGUGACGGGGUUACCCAAAGUGUUCAAUUUUGAACUGUGGUAGGUGAGUAAUGUUCCCUACUAGAAAGGAGAGGGCAAGGCUGGUGCCAGCCGCCGCGGUAAAACCAGCUCUUCAAGUGGUCGGGAUAAUUAUUGGGCUUAAAGUGUCCUAAGGCCGGUUCAGUAAGUUCCUGGUAAAAUCAGGUAGCUUAACUAUCUAUAUGCUAGGAAUACUACUAUGCUAGAGGGCGGGAGAGGUCGAGGUCUACAGGGGUAGGGGUGAAAUCUUAUAAUCCUUGUUGGACCACCAGUGGCGAAGGCGUCAGACUGGAACUGCGCCUGACGGUGAGGGACGGAAAGCCAGGGGAGCGAACGGAUUAGAUACCCUGGGUAGCCUGGCCGGUAAACGAUGCAUAUAGGUGAUGGCACGGCCAUGAGCCGUGUCAGUGCCGUAGGGAAACCGGUUAAGUGUGCCGCCUGGGAAGUCGGUCGCAAGGCUAAAACUUAAAGGAAUUGGCGGGGGAGCACCACAAGGGGUGAAGCCUGCGGUUCAAUUGGACUCAACGCCGGAAAACUUCCAGGGGAGACAGCAGUAUGACGGUCAGGUUGACGACCUUCCUAACGAGCUGAGAGGAGGUGCAUGGCCGUCGCCAGUUCGUGCCCGUGAGGUAUCCUGUUAAGUCAGGCAACGAACGAGAUCGCACCUUUAUUUGCCACCAAGAAGUCCCGACUUCGUUGGGAACACUUAAAGGGACCUGCCGUCGAAUAGACGGAGGAAGGACCGGGCAAAAGAGGGUCAGNAUGCCCGAAACCCCUGGGCUCCCGC